UGGCGUGCUUCGCUCCAUAGAUU
Molecule: microRNA, 23 nt
Filed under: Tribolium castaneum (red flour beetle)
Lineage: Eukaryota; Metazoa; Arthropoda; Insecta; Coleoptera; Tenebrionidae
Description: Tca-Mir-11635_5p* (star (passenger))
Source: RNAcentral